AUUGAACGCUGGCGGCAGGCUUAACACAUGCAAGUCGAGCGGGGUGAUGGUGCUUGCACUAUCACUUAGCGGCGGACGGGUGAGUAAUGCUUAGGAAUCUGCCUAUUAGUGGGGGACAACAUCUCGAAAGGGAUGCUAAUACCGCAUACGUCCUACGGGAGAAAGCAGGGGAUCACUUGUGACCUUGCGCUAAUAGAUGAGCCUAAGUCGGAUUAGCUAGUUGGUGGGGUAAAGGCCUACCAAGGCGACAAUCUGUAGCGGGUCUGAGAGGAUGAUCCGCAACACUGGGACUGGGACACGGCCCAGACUCCUACGGGAGGCAGCAGUGGGGAAUAUUGGACAAUGGGGGGAACCCUGAUCCAGCCAUGCCGCGUGUGUAAAGAAGGCCUUAUGGUUGUAAAGCACUUUAAGCGAGGAGGAGGCUCCUUUGGUUAAUACCCAAGAUGAGUGGACGUUACUCGCAGAAUAAGCACCGGCUAACUCUGUGCCAGCCGCCGCGGUAA
Molecule: ribosomal RNA, 503 nt
Filed under: uncultured bacterium
Lineage: Bacteria
Description: partial 16S ribosomal RNA
Rfam family: Bacterial small subunit ribosomal RNA
Source: RNAcentral